CCGCCGGCCGGAACCACAAGCGAUAUCCGCAGAGCUGUGCUCCAUAUCCGGUAGGACGGGCCAUGCUACAGCGCGUGCUACGGUUGAUUGCCGCCUGUGCCUUCAGCCUGAGGGAGGGUUGCGCGCCGUGGUCGUGCUCCGCCUGAGGGAGGGCUGCGCACCGUGGUCGCGCUCCGCCUGAGGGAGGGUUGCGCGUCGUGGUCGUGCUCCGCCUGAGGGAGGGUUGCGCGCCGUGGUCGUGCUCCGCCCGAGGGAGGGCUACGCGCCGCGCCGCGCCAUGGGAUGCUGCUUCCGAGAGGUGGAAGACGUCGUCGUCGCCAAACGCGGAUAUCGUACAUAUAUGUUUUUCUUUUGCUCCUGGUAAGGUCGCUUGUACUUGAUUGCCUCACAGAAGUAGUACAGGUCGUGGAUUUGAUGUCAUCGUGUGGUUGAUCUCUUUUCUUCUCGGUUCUUGGAGUUCCUGGUACAGCAAUUGAUUUUUACAGGAAUAAAAUCAAACUGAAUCACCUGUUUGACACCGAUUUCUCUAUUUCUCGUGGCCACCGGAGUUGCUUGGUGCCGUUCGUCGCGUGACGCCGACGGGUAGCGCGGGAGGGUGGCCUCACCAGGCGCAACAAUGGCGCCGUGGGUUGUCGGGCACUCCGUGAUGUGCCACGGGUAUGCAUCUCACGACUUCGUCGUCGGGCGAGCGUCGCUGCUUCGCCUCCAGAUGCGGGAAAAAAGCCUUCGGCCCUCGCCCCUAUUUUGUCUCUUCCCCGUCAUUUUCUUCUUGUUCCAGUGGCCAAAUCGCUCUCGACAGAGCAAGUGCAUGAUAACGUGUGAAAGAAUAAAAGCAAAUGAUCGAAUAGUCUUUCUUAUUGAAUGAAAACUAGGUAUUUAUAUCCUUCUUACAAGGUAGUUAGAGUUACAAUGUCGGUAACCACAACCGACGUAAACAACCGACUUAAGCAUUGAUUACUAGGAUUAAAUUAAUCAUUAAUAAUUAUUAGCCGGGUCAUGUCGUGCCGGCCCACGUGCGCAGCCUUCCGACCCAGGCAUAACACGGAAGCUAAAUGGGCCAGCUCGUCGACACGGCCGACCUAUAGGCCGGGCAAACGGGGCGCCCACCCUGGGCUGCCGUAAGGCAGGGGCCUCAGCCGAGGUAAUACUUCCCCAUAUCCAGCCCAAGUAAUACUUCCCCAUAUCCCAGCUCAAGUAAAACUAGCGAACGCAGACGCUCCCGUGCCGUCUCCUGCACGAGACCGACUUUCCUCCCAAAUCCCAGAGACCCAGACUCCCAGAACAGCACCGCCGCUCCCGUGCCGUCUCCGAUUCCAAGAACGCCACCGGCCAUUAAUGGGGACUAAUGGCGCAAAUCAGAUCCCUGAUCUGCUCGCCUCCCUUCUUCAAAGAUCUUCCCUUUCCUCACUUCCCCGUCAGCUAGAAGUUGGUGUCUUCGAGACAAGGAGAUAUGCCCGUUCCUCACUUCCCGGUGAUCCCGUUCAUCCUUUCAGUUAAAUAGAUGACCCUGACCCUGCAUCUCUAACAUCUCUUCUCUUUCUCUGUUUCAGUGGACGCAACCCUUCUCUUUCUCUCUCUCUCUGAUGAACCGGGCCGAAUAGGAGGUGAGGUUCGCUGGAAUCAUUGUUGAUCUGCUGCAGCGAAAGGUGAAGCCAGGGGGAGGGGCCGAAGGCAGGGGGAGGGGCAGAAGCUGAUUUGUUUCAGUGGAUCUGCUGAUUUGGCCGCCUACAUCAACAUUCAGGUGCCUUUGUUCCCUGUUUUAAUCAUUUUAUGCUGCUUGUUCUUGAUAAGUAACAUGUCCUUUAGCAAGCAUUUAUCUGGUAGUAACAAAGGGAAGAUAAAAAAGAAAAAAGAUGAAGAGGUAAAAUCUCUAAAAGGAUCACUUAACAGAUAUUUCAAACCUGGUAGUUUUUCUAGAGAUCCCCUGGAACUGGCCAUAGUAUGUGUUGAAGAACAACCAACUGAGAAUACAAAUGCUACCGAUGAUGAUAUGGAUAUGGGUAAUGGUAAUUCCAGCGAGCAUGAAAAUGUAGCUCGUUCAUCAAAUUAUGAAUCACCGAGUGUCGAUAAACAACAACCAUUCAGUGUUGAUAUUUUUGACCCACGAAACUGGGAUAAUCUGGAUGAUAAGGCAAGAGAUAUUUUAGUUGAGAAGGGCCCUGUAAGGAAUGAUGAUAUUGUGUUCCCUCCAGAUAGUAAUUCUAUACAUUUUUCACUAUCUUAUUAUUCCACAAAGUUGAGGAAUGGAGAGGUACAUGCCAGGAAAUGGUUGGUUUACUCUGAACAUGCUAACAAAGUGUAUUGUUUUUGUUGCAAGCUUUUCAAAUCCCAUAUCAACAAGAGUGCGUUAGCUGGUAAUGGGUUGAGUGACUGGAAGCAUCUUAGUGAGAGGCUUAAAGAACACGAAAAUGGUGUAGAACACAUUAAAACCAUGAACACUUGAAAUGAGUUAAAAGUUAGACUGGCCAAAAAUAAAACCAUUGAUAAGGAUUUGCAGCAGAAGAUUAAUAAGGAGAAAGAACGUUUGAGACAAGUGUUAAUGAGAUUAGUAGCAAUUGUUAAAUAUCUUGGUAAACGUAACUUGGCUUUCCGUGGAUCUAAUGAGAAACUUUAUCAACACAGCAAUGGUAAUUUUUUGGCAUGUGUAGAGAUGAUUGCUGAAUUUGAUCCAAUAAUGCAAGAACAUCUUAGAAGAAUUCAGAAUGAUGAAAUUUAUCAUCACUAUCUCAGCCACAAAAUUCAGAAUGAGUUGAUUUCUCUAUUGGCCUCUAGUGUUACUGGUUCUAUCUUACAAAUUAUUAAAGAAGCUAAAUAUUUCUCCAUAAUUCUUGAUUGUACUCCAAAUGUUAGCCAUCAAGAACAAAUGACCCUAAUUAUUCGAUGUGUUAACAUGUCAAAUAGAAAAAUAAAAAUAGAAGAAUUUUUAUGGAAUUUUUGAGAGUGGAUGACACUUCUGGUUUGGGUUUUUUAAUGCACUUCUUGAUGCAAUUGAGUCUUAUGGCUUAAAUAUUGAUAAUGUAAGGGGCCAAGGGUACAAUAAUGGUUCCAACAUGAAAGGAAACAAACAAGGGGUACAAAGUCGUUUACUUGAAAAAAUCCAAGAGCUUUAUAUAUGCCAUGUGUGUGUCAUCGCCUCAAUCUUACUUUGUGUGAUAUAGCAAGUUCUUGUAGUAAAGUUAUAUCCUUCUUUGGAAUUGCGCAAUGGAUUUAUGUUUUAUUUUCAAGUUCCACUAAAAUAUGGAAAGUUUUACUUGAUCAUAUUCCUAGUUUAACCGUAAAAGGUUUGUCUAAUACUCGGUGGGAGAGUCGAAUCAAAAGUGUAAAGGCUAUUAGAUAUCAAGCUCCACAAUUAAGGAUCACUUUGUCCGAGUUAUGUAAAAUUUGUGAUGAUGCCAAGUCAAAGAGCGAUGCAAAAAAAUUAUUUGACGCGCUUGGUAGUUUUGAGUUUUUACUUGGCAUGGUUAUUUGGCAUGAUAUAUUAUUUGCUGUAAACAUGGUGAGCAAGAAGUUGCAGUCUGCAUCUAUGUGUGUUGACUCUACCUUGCAGCAAAUUGAAGGCGUAAUGUAGUUUUUUGAUAAGUAUAGAGAGGAAGGAUUUGCAUCUUGUUUAACUAUCACCAAAGGUCUUGCAAUUGAUAUGGGCAUAGAACCAUCAUUUCCAAUAAAACCUAAUGUUACUAGGAAGAAACAAUUUGUUGAACCUGAUAACGAUGAAGAAGUUCUAAAAGCUGAGAAGGCGUUCGAAGUUAAUUACUUUUUAGUUAUGGUUGAUAUUGCAAAGGUCUCUAAGAACUAGAUUCAAAGAACUCCAAGUUUUCAAAAGUAUAUUUGGCUUCUUACUUAGCUCAAAAGACAUGAAGUUAUUGGAUGAUGUCGAACUACACAAAUAUUGUGCUAAGUUUGUAGAAACAUUUUCACGAAAUGGUUCAUGCGAUGUUGAGUUAGAUGAUCUUUUUUCUGAAAUUAGACUGCUGCAAAUGACUUUACCAUAAUCAGAUUUGCCAUUGCAUGCUAUGGAGAUUUUUUGAGUUUGUUAGAGAUACUGACUGUUUUCCAAAUGUUUUAAUUGCUUAUCGAAUUUUGUUCACUGUACCAAUGACCGUAGCAUCAGCGGAGCGUAGUUUUUGCAAGUUGAAAUUGUUAAAUAACUACUUGAGGUCAACAAUGUCACAAGAAAUAUUAAAUGUUCUUGCUACUUUAUGUAUUGAGAAAGAUAAGUUGGAUGAAAUAAAUUUUGAUGCAAUAAUUGAUGACUUUGUUUCAAGAAGUGUUAGAAGAAUUUCCAAGUUCUAGUAUAGACAUGAAAUUCUCAGUUAGCUUUACUAUGCCUUGAGAAGGAAUGUUUGGAAGAAUUGAGGUACUAUGCUGUGAAGAAUUUUGGAGUGAAGAACAUGGCCGAUUGGCGAGGAUCGAGAAACAAAUAACAAAAUGACAGUCUCCAUUCAAAUUUAGGAAUGCAAGAUUUUGUGAAAAGAGAGCUUUUGUCAAACUUCAUCUCCUUACUAUCAUGAUGUAGUUCACUUGAUCGACAAAUAAAUUGUACUGUCAAUUUUAGAGUCCAAAUUACGAUCAUCAGACUACGCUAUGUAUUGGAUAUUACUUUGUUUUUUAAAUAUACAAUAUUUUGAACUUC
Long non-coding RNA from Hordeum vulgare subsp. vulgare (domesticated barley), 4633 nucleotides. RefSeq lists it as uncharacterized. The transcript is spliced from 2 exons. Lineage: Eukaryota; Viridiplantae; Streptophyta; Magnoliopsida; Poales; Poaceae. The record is from RefSeq and is a predicted model, not a curated record.